AGAGUUUGAUCCUGGCUCAGAAUGAACGCUGGCGGCGUGCCUAACACAUGCAAGUCGAAUGUGCCGCAAGGUGCAUGGCAGACGGGUGAGUAACGCGUAGGGAAUCUACCUUUUAGUGGGGAAUAACGCUCCGAAAGGAGUGGUAAUACCGCAUGAGACCGUAGUCUGGGAUGACUACGGUGAAACCUGGGGACCGCAAGGCCUGGGGCUAAAAGAGGAUCCUGCGUCUGAUUAGCUAGUUGGCGGGGUAAUGGCCCACCAAGGCGACGAUCAGUAGCCGGCCUGAGAGGGUGAUCGGCCACACUGGAACUGAGACACGGUCCAGACUCCUACGGGAGGCAGCAGUGGGGAAUUUUGCGCAAUGGACGAAAGUCUGACGCAGCAACGCCGCGUGGGUGAUGAAGGUCUUCGGACUGUAAAACCCUGUCGUCAGGGACGAAGGUUGGGGGGUUAAUAGCCCUUUAGCUUGACGGUACCUGGAGAGGAAGCCCCGGCUAACUCUGUGCCAGCAGCCGCGGUAAUACAGAGGGUGCGAGCGUUAAUCGGAAUUACUGGGCGUAAAGCGUGCGUAGGUGGUUUUUUAAGCUGGAUGUGAAAGCCCCGGGCUUAACCUGGGAACUGCAUUCAGGACUGGGAAACUCGAGUCUGGGAGAGGGUGGUGGAAUUUCCGGUGUAGCGGUGAAAUGCGUAGAUAUCGGAAGGAACAUCAGUGGCGAAGGCGACCGCCUGGCCUAAGACUGACACUGAGGCACGAAAGCGUGGGGAGCAAACAGGAUUAGAUACCCUGGUAGUCC
Molecule: ribosomal RNA, 794 nt
Filed under: uncultured bacterium
Lineage: Bacteria
Description: bacterial SSU rRNA
Rfam family: Bacterial small subunit ribosomal RNA
Source: RNAcentral